ACGGGAGGCAGCAGUGAGGAGUAUUGGUCAAUGGCCGGAAGGCUGAACCAGCCAAGUAGCGUGAGGGAUGACUGCCCUAUGGGUUGUAAACCUCUUUUGUCCGGGAAUAAAGUGGUCCACGCGUGGUCCAUUGCAUGUACCGGCCGAAUAAGCAUCGGCUAACUCCGUGCCAGCAGCCGCGGUAUACGGAGGAUGCGAGCGUUAUCCGGAUUUAUUGGGUUUAAAGGGAGCGUAGGCGGAAGGUCAAGUCAGCUGUGAAAUGUAGUCGCUCAACGUCUGCACUGCAGUUGAAACUGGCCUCCUUGAGUGCGUAAGAGGCAGGCGGAAUUCGUCGUGUAGCGGUGAAAUGCUUAGAUAUGACGAAGAACUCCGAUUGCGAAGGCAGCUUGCUGGGCCGCAACUGACGCUGAAGCUCGAAGGUGCGGGUAUCAAACAGGAUUAGAUACCCUGGUA
This 453-nucleotide ribosomal RNA is filed under the name uncultured Prevotellaceae bacterium. RNAcentral describes it as "partial 16S ribosomal RNA". It matches the Rfam family "Bacterial small subunit ribosomal RNA", at positions 341 to 792 of the family's 1533-position model. Lineage: Bacteria; Pseudomonadati; Bacteroidota; Bacteroidia; Bacteroidales; Prevotellaceae. The record is from RNAcentral.